GGAUAUGAGGGUGAUCUGGCUGUGACAUCUGUCACCCCAUUGAUGGCUAGGGUUGAUUUGGCUGAUCUGGCUGGCUAGGCUGGUGUCCUCUCCCUCCCUCAAUGCUCCAUGUGUAUCCCUCCUGAAGCUGCACACUCAGUCAAAGAGGACAACCUUCACUGAUAGAGGAGGACCGGCCUUCAGUCAAGAGUAUAGGAGUAGCUGUGCUCCCCUGCUAGAACCUCCAAACAAGCUCUCAAGAGAACAAAUGAUACCAAAUGCUGGCGAGAAUGUGGAGAAAGGGGAAUGCUCAUUUACUGCUGGUGGGACUGCAAACU
This 317-nucleotide small nuclear RNA is filed under the name Nannospalax galili (Upper Galilee mountains blind mole rat). RNAcentral's name for it is "7SK RNA (ENSNGAG00000004009.1)". It matches the Rfam family "7SK RNA". From Rfam's summary of the family: 7SK was discovered as an abundant small nuclear RNA in the mid-70s but a possible function has only recently been suggested. Two independent studies have found that 7SK RNA binds the CDK9/cyclin T complex (known as elongation factor P-TEFb). P-TEFb activates transcription by phosphorylating the C-terminal domain of RNA polymerase II. Lineage: Eukaryota; Metazoa; Chordata; Mammalia; Rodentia; Spalacidae. The record is from RNAcentral.